This 375-nucleotide ribosomal RNA is filed under the name uncultured bacterium. RNAcentral's name for it is "bacterial SSU rRNA". It matches the Rfam family "Bacterial small subunit ribosomal RNA", at positions 523 to 898 of the family's 1533-position model. The record is from RNAcentral.
AUACGUAGGGGGCAAGCGUUGUCCGGAAUUAUUGGGCGUAAAGGGCGCGCAGGCGGCCUGUUAAGUCUGGUGUGAAAGACCACGGCUCAACCGUGGGGUUGCAUCAGAAACUGGCGGGCUUGAGUGCAGGAGAGGAGAGUGGAAUUCCCGGUGUAGCGGUGGAAUGCGUAGAGAUCGGGAGGAACACCAGUGGCGAAGGCGGCUCUCUGGCCUGCAACUGACGCUGAGGCGCGAAAGCGUGGGUAGCGAACAGGAUUAGAUACCCUGGUAGUCCACGCCGUAAACGAUGAGUGCUAGGUGUUGGGGGUUUCCGCCCUCUGUGCCGAAGGUAACCCAAUAAGCACUCCGCCUGGGGAGUACGGCCGCAAGGCUGAA